AUAAAUGAACAACUGGGUGAGCUGCGUGCCGACUGCUCAGGUCAUGAUUUAACCCAGGCCUGCGGAUACGUUGCUAGGCAUACUAAUCCUUACACAACGAAGGCACUUGCAUCGGUGGCUGCGCGUGAAAUAUCAAUAAAACAAAGCAUCAUCAUUAACUAUAGUAGCAUACGGUACAAACACAUGCAAAAAAAAUGUUGUAUGUGUUAAAUAGUGUCGGUACGUAAGAAGUGCUUGAGUUGGGUGACGAAGAGUGUGCGGAGGUGUUGUCAGGCGAUGUUGGGCGUCUUGACCAGUUAGCAACGAGCCGUCACACCGCCACUGAGCCACAUGCACUGACAAGGGAAGCAAGACUUUUCACUCCCAAUCCGGAUCUCAGAUAAAAAGGACAGCGGGUAUUUCUUUAUCGAGCGGUGGCCCUGAAUCGUGGCUCUUCGAUGCACUGACGGUGGCGGCUAUGGCGCUUAGUCAAUGAUUCGCCGAAGUGAAGGACGAUCAAUGCGUGAUAGAGGCUUUUUUCAACUAAACCUGCUGAGAGAUGACUAGCGGAGACUAUUUCCUGUCCUUGGAACAUUCAGGGUAAAUGUGGACAUAUAUGCUUAACUUGUACGUCGUGCAUAUAAACGUGUGUGUGUGUGUGUGUGUGUGUGUGUGUGUGUGUGUUCCUUAGGUUUCUGGUUUUAUUUAAUGUAAUUUGCAACAUGUUUGUUUGAAUAAUUAAAAUGCAAAGUCUGGUUCAUACGCAACACUGUGCAUUACCUUCCAUGAUGACUCCUCUCAUAAUCAGUGAGCUUGUGGUAGAAAUUUCCCUUUCUUCAUCCUAGCUAUUACGGUCUACCUUGCUUAGGUUUUCCACGGUACUAAGCACUCAUUGCCUGACCCCAGUAGAGGAUGAAUGGGUGGGGGUUGUGUACCUUUUACCCUUGGUCGAAGUCGGACAGUAGCAGGCGGGUUCAUAAUAUAGGUUCACUAAAUAUUAAUACGCAUUUAGUUAAACUUCAUAAUGAAUAUUCUGGAUGAAAACGUGAAUUUUUAUUUUUUCGCGCAAAAGUCCCAGCCUUUCUUUGCCAGUUAGAGAAACCUGUUGAGGGUGGAGGCACCAGGUUUUAGCAUAAACCUUUGACCGUGUCAUCCAGUAUUUACUUUGGUGAUUCUGCCUGAGGAAGGCAUGAGGUGGAUGCUCCCAAGCCGGGUAUAAAGCAGGGCACCGCACACAGCCCUCAACAGACUUGUGGAAGCAUUCGGUCCACCAGGUUUUCGUUGGCAUUAUGAAGUUCUUUUUGGUCGUGAUGGUGGCUCUGGCCUGCGUAAUGACAGCCUACGGUCUGCCUGGCCCAGUUGCCUUCGCUGGCCCUCACCCUGAAGCUUACCCAGACCCUUCGGCUGACCCGCACUGGCACUGGGGUGGUUGGGGCCACCACCACCACCACCACCAUGGUUUCCACUGGGGAUAAUCAAUCAUCUGCAUCCUGCCAGACCAGACUCGAAGGCGACGAUUUUGACGGCGAUGACCACAAAGACCACCGAGAACUCUGGAAUGGAUUCAGGAAAUGAUUUGGUUCCCUCAGAGCCGCGCUCUACACCUUAUCUCACGGGGCGAACAAGGUUGGGAUACCCACCAAAAGGCAUUAUGAAAAUAUCUGUCUUGAAUCAGGCGACUUUUGUCCACAGUUGUCGUAAAUUUUGAGUGAAAAUUGUUCUCUUUAUCUUUCAAUAAAGACUGCACAUUCACGUCUUAAUAUUUAAAUUGUUAAACUGUUGGAUGAAACUAUUGUAAUAAACUUCAAUAUAAUAACAUCAAGUAUACGUGAUUACAUACACACGCACACACACACACACACACACACACACACACACAC
This is a long non-coding RNA of Eriocheir sinensis (Chinese mitten crab), 1859 nucleotides long. RefSeq lists it as uncharacterized. The record is from RefSeq and is a predicted model, not a curated record. The transcript has 2 exons. NCBI's taxonomy places the organism in Eukaryota, Metazoa, Arthropoda, Malacostraca, Decapoda, Varunidae.